CGCCGGUGGUGGAGUAUAAGUGGCCCGCUUCAGCGCCAUCCAUUUUCAGGGCUAGUUCAUUCGGCAGGUGAGUUGUUACACACUCCUUAGCGGAUUCCGACUUCCAUGGCCACCGUCCUGCUGUCUAUAUGAACCAACACCUUUUGUGGGAUC
This 153-nucleotide ribosomal RNA is filed under the name Amphora coffeiformis. Its description in RNAcentral is "5.8S ribosomal RNA". Lineage: Eukaryota; Bacillariophyta; Bacillariophyceae; Surirellales; Surirellaceae. The record is from RNAcentral.